This 468-nucleotide ribosomal RNA is filed under the name uncultured bacterium. RNAcentral describes it as "partial 16S ribosomal RNA". It matches the Rfam family "Bacterial small subunit ribosomal RNA", at positions 28 to 507 of the family's 1533-position model. The record is from RNAcentral.
GACGAACGCUGGCGGCGUGCUUAACACAUGCAAGUCGAACGGAAAGGCCCCGCUUUUGUGGGGUGCUCGAGUGGCGAACGGGUGAGUAACACGUGAGUAUCCUGCUCUUGACUUUGGGAUAACUUCAGGAAACUGGGGCUAAUACCGGAUAGGAGCUCCUGCUGCAUGGUGGGGGUUGGAAUGUUUCGGCGGUUGGGGAUGGACUCGCGGCUUAUCAGCUUGUUGGUGGGGUAGUGGCUUACCAAGGCUUUGACGGGUAGCCGGCCUGGGAGGGUGACCGGCCACAUUGGGACUGAGAUACGGCCCAGGCUCCUACGGGAGGCAGCAGUGGGGAAUAUUGCACAAUGGGCGGAAGCCUGAUGCAGCAACGCCGCGUGCGGGAUGACGGCCUUCGGGUUGUAAACCGCUUUCGCCUGUGACGAAGCGGGAGUGACGGUAAUGGGUAAAGAAGCACCGGCUAACUACGUG